CUCCGAUCUUCUCAUGGCAUCCCUACAAACAUCACUCAUUUAUUAUAAUCCUCCACACUGCCCUCAAGUUUUAUUUACAGUUAAGAAUUUGGAUGUGGCACUGAAUGAUUCAGUUCUUAGUCUCGCUGUGAUGACAUCAGAUGAUCCUCACUUUGAAUAUUUUCCUCGGGCUUUUGGAAAAUAAUUGUAUGUUAUCUUAAACAUAUCCAGAGGAAGCUUCUUAGACACAAAACAUAUCCAAGGUUGUGUAGUAGAAGUGAGGCACUCUAUCCUUAGCACAGUAAAAGUUGCUUUUGUAAACUGGAAAUCAAAGAAUGCUUAAAAUAGAAACAGAAAACCACACAUACUCAUCAGACAAUAGACUGAUGCACAAGCUGAAUUUUUCUUCUUCUUCUUUUUUUUUUUUUCUUUCCAGUACCAGGGAUCCAAUUCACGACCACCUGCUUGCAAGGCGGAUACUUAUGCUGCUGAGCUAAAUCUCCAGUCCCCAAGCUGAAUUCUUUAAAAUAGCUUUUCAGUGAGACAGGCUGGUGAAGACCAUGAAGCCGCAGAAGCUCAGAGCCACUGGAAAGCUUUGAAGAUGGCAGAAUUGAGGAGCAAAUAUAUCCAGCUUCUAGCAGAUGUACAAGCCCAGCCAGGGAUUUUACAGAUGCUAACCAUGUACUUACCGCUAAGCUACACUCCCAGUCCUAACCUAAUUUCUUUUGCACCUUUGGUCACACUGUCAAUCAACAGCAGAGGAGGAUUUAAACACAAGAGCUUUGCACUCCAUGGUGUACAGUUCAACAAUCUUGUUUUAGUAUAUACUAUACUUUCCUACCCACAUCUCAGAUUAUUCCAAGAUGGUGGCCAAGAAUUCCAGAUCUCCCCUGAUUAUCCUGGUAAAGGAAAAAUUGUCUGAUGUCAUAAAUGUAAUUACUAGGGUGUGCACUGAGAAUAUACUUCAGGGGUAGAGUAUUUUCCUCAUAUCCGUGAAGCACUGAAAAAAUGGCUGGCCUCAAACUUUUAAUUCUCUGCCUCAGACCCCUGAAAAGUUUGGAUUUUGUCCCUUGAGCACAAAAAACUAAAACUAAAAAAAAUUUAAAAAAAGAGAAGCCACUAUACUUACAAAGGUCCAAAAAUGGAGAGUGAAAGAUACGUGAAGUUAAUCAGUUAACUUAUACAGAUAAAGCCCAGAAAAAGACUAUUUUGAAACCAGUUAAAAUUCUAUGGAGCCAGCGGCAGUUGUGGAUCAAGAGCAGAAACAAGAAGCCAAUCUGUGCCGUACUGUGAGCCAGUGGCAGCCACAUCCUCCUGUGAGCCAGCGACAGUCGUGGCUGGGAGAAGAACCAAGAAGCCAAGCUGUGCCCUCUUGAGAGGCAGCUGGCAUGUAGACCAGGAGACAAGAAGAGCCUAUCCCCUUCAAGCAGCCAGCUGAUUCAGAGAAACAUAGGAUGAGAUGAUAGCAACUGAAAUUAAUAAGAACUUAAAGCUUAUAUAGUUUGAUUUACUUUGCAAGCCUAAAGCUGGUAGUCUGAGCAUCUAUUUAGAGGAUAACAAUUGUUUGAUUGAUUUUGCAAGCCUAAAGCGGAGCAUCUAUUUAAAGGACAACAACAUGCAGUAUAGUAACUACUGUAGAUUUCCUACCGCCUUAUCGCUGUUUUGAUGUUUUAUUGCUCUGUUUUAUUCCCUUUAAAACUAAAUAAAACAUAUACAAAUAGCAACUAUGGAGGAUUUCCUUGUUUUGUUUUUGAAAU
This is a long non-coding RNA of Cavia porcellus (domestic guinea pig), 1736 nucleotides long. The record is from Ensembl. Lineage: Eukaryota; Metazoa; Chordata; Mammalia; Rodentia; Caviidae.